CAGAACUCAAAAAGUAUUGAACCGAAUCGCAUGAAAUUUGGUGGGAUGAUUGUUUAUUAUCCGGGGACCAGUUGAUUAGAUUUUGGGAUCGAUCGGGUCAAAGGUCAAAGGUCAUGAACAGGUCAAAAUGUUCUUGAAUCGCAUGAAAUUUGUUGGGAUGAUUGGUUAUUAUCCGGGGACCAUUUGAUUAGAUUUUGGGAUCAAUCGGGUCAAAGGUCAAGGUCAUGGAAAGGUCAAACUCUUUUUUUACCAUAGCACGAUGCAUUUUUGUCCAAUUGGCAUGCAACUAAUGCCAAAAUGUUCAUAAUUCAAUGCCCAAUCUUGUGAUAUGUGAAGGUAGGCGCUCUACCGAGUGCCCAUUCUAGUUUACUUUUGUUUUGGGGAACUGCAAAGACUUUGGGGACUGUCGGGAUCCGGGGAUUAUACUUUGUUUUGAGUGGGUUUGAUUGUUUGCAGUGUGUGUUCAUUUUGGAAGCUUGCUGAUGCAUUGAAUUUUAUUUAAUAUAAUAAUAUUUGAGUUUA
Long non-coding RNA from Pseudoliparis swirei, 522 nucleotides. RefSeq lists it as uncharacterized. The record is from RefSeq and is a predicted model, not a curated record. The transcript is spliced from 2 exons. Lineage: Eukaryota; Metazoa; Chordata; Actinopteri; Perciformes; Liparidae.